AGGGGUUAGGUCAGAAUCAAUGAUUACUGGUAGAAUUUUCUCAGAUCCUAAAAACACGUAAUUAAGUGAUUCAGACAAAAGUUUCAAUUCAAAUUGUGGUGGGGCCUGAAUUGAAGAAUGUAGUGUUUCAGUUUCUAGCUUAGAUAAGGGCUCAAUUCUAAUUGACCAAGGUAGUGAAUGUGCUAGGUGAGGUGAAUCAAGUAAGGCAUUCACCU
Molecule: long non-coding RNA, 215 nt
Filed under: Elaeis guineensis (African oil palm)
Lineage: Eukaryota; Viridiplantae; Streptophyta; Magnoliopsida; Arecales; Arecaceae
Description: long non-coding RNA (EGUI_LNC066716)
Source: RNAcentral